Molecule: ribosomal RNA, 254 nt
Filed under: uncultured bacterium
Lineage: Bacteria
Description: partial 16S ribosomal RNA
Rfam family: Bacterial small subunit ribosomal RNA
Source: RNAcentral
UACGUAGGGCGCAAGCGUUGUCCGGAAUUAUUGGGCGUAAAGAGCUCGUAGGCGGUCUGUCGCGUCUGUUGUGAAAACUUGAGGCUCAACCUCGGGCUUGCAGUGGAUACGGGCAGACUAGAGUGAUGUAGGGGAGACUGGAAUUCCUGGUGUAGCGGUGAAAUGCGCAGAUAUCAGGAGGAACACCGAUGGCGAAGGCAGGUCUCUGGGCAUUAACUGACGCUGAGGAGCGAAAGCAUGGGGGAGCGAACAGG